This 240-nucleotide ribosomal RNA is filed under the name uncultured Lactobacillus sp. RNAcentral describes it as "partial 16S ribosomal RNA". It matches the Rfam family "Bacterial small subunit ribosomal RNA", at positions 122 to 355 of the family's 1533-position model. The record is from RNAcentral. Lineage: Bacteria; Bacillati; Bacillota; Bacilli; Lactobacillales; Lactobacillaceae.
UAACCUGCCCAAGAGAUCGGGAUAACACCUGGAAACAGAUGCUAAUACCGGAUAACAACAGAUGAUGCCUAUCAACUGUUUAAAAGAUGGUUNUGCUAUCACUCUUGGAUGGACCUGCGGUGCAUUAGCUAGUUGGUAGGGUAACGGCCUACCAAGGCGAUGAUGCAUAGCCGAGUUGAGAGACUGAUCGGCCACAUUGGGACUGAGACACGGCCCAAACUCCUACGGGAGGCAGCAGUA